RNAcentral lists this ribosomal RNA (253 nucleotides) under uncultured bacterium. RNAcentral describes it as "partial 16S ribosomal RNA". It matches the Rfam family "Bacterial small subunit ribosomal RNA", at positions 524 to 776 of the family's 1533-position model. The record is from RNAcentral.
GACAGAGGGUGCAAACGUUGUUCGGAAUUACUGGGCGUAAAGCGCGUGUAGGCUGCUCUGCAAGUCGGGUGUGAAAGCCCUGGGCUCAACCUAGGAAGUGCACUCGAAACUGCAGAGCUGGAGUCCUGGAGAGGAAGGCGGAAUUCUCGGUGUAGAGGUGAAAUGCGUAGAGAUGGGGGAGAACACUCGUGGCGAAGGCGGCCAGCUAGACCAGUUCUGACACUGAGGCGCGACAGCGUGGGGAGCAAACAGG